Molecule: ribosomal RNA, 252 nt
Filed under: Triticum aestivum (bread wheat)
Lineage: Eukaryota; Viridiplantae; Streptophyta; Magnoliopsida; Poales; Poaceae
Description: partial small subunit ribosomal RNA
Source: RNAcentral
AUAGUUCGACAUGAGGUAGCAGGAUCCACUCAAACACUACAAUGAAAAUGUGUUGAAUCAAGAGUAGAUAGUAAGCGCCUUUAUUAUAACUUUCAUCCUGUCCCGCUUAGAAAAGGUCAAGCGGAUACCGUCGGUAUUGUCUUGCGAAGAGCUUUACUUUGGAGAAAUAGAAGGAACAUGUAUCACACGUGCAAAAUUUGGGAGUGUGCCGCACGAAUAUUCUAUAAUAGCACUUUAUCAGGCUUUUCAUAA